UAUAAUUUAAUUUAAUUUAAUUUAAUUUAAUUUGAUAUAAUGUGUUGUGCAUUAAGCAGCUGUCUGUGAUGUAGAGCAAGAGGGAAAUAAGUAUUAUUGAUCAUGUUGAAGUCAUAAGUACCAGUGAGCACUGCAGUUAUUGACUCUCUCACACUGGAUCCAGUAACGGCCGGUCGAUACAGGCUAACACACUUACGGUACGACAUACGGAACUGCCUAGAAGUGAUCCGGUCAAGCUCCGGCCCAAACCAAUCCAAACACAGACUGGAGAAACAUAGAGAGAGGGAGAGAAUGAAGUAACCGAGAAGGAGAAACAAAUGAGACAGGACCAGGACAGAGGAUGAAAAGAGGACCAAAAGAGUGAGACAGUACAGGGAAUUUAAAAAUACAGAAAGAGUGAGACAGGAUAAAGAAAGAAGUUACUGAAGGGGGAAAAAGAGAGAGUGAGACAGAAGAGUCAGACAGGACAGAGAAUAAAACAAUACAGAGAGUAAGACAGGAACUGGUAGGACCAGUAAGAUAGGAAUAAAAAGAGUGAGACGGGACAGAGAAAAAAGUACAAGAGAAAAAAAAAACAGAAAGAGUGACAGAGAAUUAAAAGAGUGAGACAGGACAGAGGAUGAAACAACACAGAGAGUGAGACAGGACGAGGAAUGAAACAAUACAGAGAGUGAGACAGGAUCUGAAGAGUGCGACAAUACAGAGAGUGAGACAGGAUCUAAAGAGUGAGACAAUACAGAGAGUGAGACAGGUUCUAACAGGAUCUAAAGUGUGAGACAAUACAGAGAGUGAGACAGGAUCUAAAGAGUGAGACAGCACAGAGAGUGAGACAAUACAGAGAGUGAGACAGGAUCUAAAGAGUGAGACAGCACAGAGAGUGAGACAGGAUCUAAAGAGUGAGACAGCACAGAGAGUGAGACAAUACAGAGAGUGAGACAGGAUCUAAAGAGUGAGACAGCACAGAGAGUGAGACAAUACAGAAGGUGAGACAGGACCUAAAGAGUGAGACAGCACAGAGAGUGAGACAAUACAGAGAGUGAGACAGGAUCUAAAGAGUGAGACAGCACAGAGAGUGAGACAAUACAGAGAGUGAGACAGGAUCUAAAGAGUGAGACAGCACAGAGAUUGAGACAAUACAGAAGGUGAGACAGGAUCUAAAGAGUGAGACAGCACAGAGAGUGAGACAAUACAGAGAGUGAGACAGGAUCUAAAGAGUGAGACAGCACAGAGAUUGAGACAAUACAGAAGGUGAGACAGGAUCUAAAGAGUGAGACAGCACAGAGAGUGAGACAAUACAGAGAGUGAGACAGGAUCAAAAGAGUGAGACAGGACAGAAAAAGAAGUAAUCGAGGAGAAAAAAAUACGAGUUAAUAAGAGAGACAGAACUGGAAGUAUGAGACAGGACAGAGAUUAAAAACAAUACCGAGAGUGAGACAGAACUAAAAGAGUGAGACAGAACAGAUAAUGAAACAAUACAGAGAGUGAGACAGGUCAGAUAAUGAAAUGAUACAGAGAGUGAGACAGGUCAGAGAGGAAGAAGUAAAACAGGAGAAAAUCAAUAAGAGGAAAGGAAAUGAGUGAGACAGGACAGAGAAUGAAACAAUACAGGAUCCAGUGAGACAGGACAGAGAGAG
Molecule: non-coding RNA, 1634 nt
Organism: Danio rerio (zebrafish)
Lineage: Eukaryota; Metazoa; Chordata; Actinopteri; Cypriniformes; Danionidae
Source: RefSeq, a predicted model, not a curated record